Molecule: long non-coding RNA, 3356 nt
Filed under: Sus scrofa (pig)
Lineage: Eukaryota; Metazoa; Chordata; Mammalia; Artiodactyla; Suidae
Description: lncRNA (ENSSSCG00050058596.1)
Source: RNAcentral
UAUAAAAACCAGUAAAUGUACAUUAGAAUAUCAGUUGGCUUUAAUAAAUCAGUUGCAAUGUACACUGAAUGGGGAAUAAAUUUAAAUGUUCAAAAUUAGAAUUAGCUGAAUAUGCUCACCAACAAAACUUUGUUUUGGAAUGCGGUGACAGUUUUAUUUGUGAUUUAAAGUUUGGGUGACUUAUGGUCAGCUCUCCAUAUCCAUGGGUUCUGCAUCUGCAGGUUCAACCAUUUAUGGAUGGAAAAUGCUCUGGGAUCCAGGGUUGGUUGAACCUGUGGAUUCAAACCUGUGGACUCAAGGGCCAACUGUAAGGGAACUAAGUCUGUGUGGGUUUUGGUAUCUGAGAGAGAGAGGGGGUCCUGGGACUAAUCCCCCGUGGAUAUCAAAAGAUGACUAUAGUUUUAUUUUUUAAAUGGAAUCAAGGUAUGGAGUGAUAAAAUGAGAAUAAUACUAAGGAGGAUGGAAUAUUUGCUAUGUAGCUCAGUGUCUAUGAGAGAAAAAGAAAUACUCACCAAUGGGAGGUGCUGUAGGCGAUUGACGGGGAACCUGAGAGCAGAGCAAUCCAGGAGGUGUUUCCUUGUUCUUUCACAUAGAGAAUAAAUAUUUUCCAUUUGCAUGGCAUUCUGAUUUUAUCUUUAUCAUUCUCUAAGCCAUAUAUACUUGGGAUAGAAGCAAAGAAAAUCUUGCCAGCAAUUCUUGAGAAAAUUGUAAAUAUCAUGAAAUGUCACCCAAACAUACUUUUUACGUAUCCAAAUUUAAUUCUAAAUAGGUAAAUUUGUAUCGAGAGAGUGAAAAUAGCAUUACACUUCUUUGUACCACCGGGUGCCAGAAACCAUUCCAAGAGGUAUCUGUGGGUUAGUUCUUGAGUUUCUUAGCCACCUUGAUUGUUAGUGUGUAUUAUUCUCCAGCAACGCAAUAUAGGUGAAUGCCAAGAACACAGAGCUUUAAUUUCAUAUUUCUUAUUGUUGAGCAGUAUUAGCCUUUGAAUAAAGGUUCAAGGCAUCUCUGGUAGUAUAUAGUAUACACAAGGAAAAAUGUGAAGUCAAAGAUGGAUGUGAUGUAAUUUGUAAAAGUAGGAGCAUUUUUAUUUAUUCACUAUUUCUCUUUGAUCCCCAAAGUAAUACGUAUUUUAAAUUACAGAACUAAGUUCAUACUCUACUUCACCUUCCUAUUUCAUGUUUUGAGCUGACUACACACCUAGCUCAUCCCUGGCUUUCAACUUGGAAUUGUUGCCAUCCCUUAUUCUAGUAUCCUGGCAGAAUCAGUCACAAGACUAUCAUCUUAGCAGAGAGAUGUGACCGAUUGCUUUAAAAAUAAAUGAUACUAGGACUGAAUCAAGAAAGAAGAAGGUUCAUUAAAACCUUGAAGAAGCAGCCUCAUCACUUUCUGCAUAUUGCUCUUGACAAUGCCUGAGAGAUAGCUAUAUAUUAUGUUUAUUUUUAGAGCCAACCAAUCUCUUUUAACACAAACUGCUGGAUAGAGAAAGCCAUAACACUCUCAGAUAGCUCUUAAAUUUAGUGAGAGUGAGCUGAAUUACUUCUUUCUAUUAGGAACUGCUGUCCUAUCCUUCAUUUUGAGCAGAUUUCUUUAAAAUAAACAUAGAGAAAAAAUACUACAUGCUUUGAGCCUAUUGAUACACUUGGUCUUUUAAUGAGUAAUGUAUGUGAACUAAAGGCAUAAUAAAGUAAGCUGACUAAGAGCUAUAUGCAUCUUUUUAAGUGUCUGAAAGGCCAUUGCCAUUUGAUUUUUCUAAUCAAAUUGCUCAGGAUGACUGUUUUACUUCCUGUGUAGAUAGAUAUUUCUGAAGACCUUAAAGCAUCAAGCAUCUCCUUCAAAAUUAAAAUUUUAGAGUAUCAGCUCUUGGCUGUAUUUCCUUUGGAUUCAUUUGAAAGUGUAUUAAGGGAAAAAACUAAGCAGAGGGUUUGACUCCACAAAUCUGUUUUGUUUUUCAAAGUAAAUUAGUACUGAAAAGUGAAAUCAAAGUGUAAGAUUGAAUAGAUUUCAGUGACCAACACAAAAAAGUAAAGAACAUUUCAAAAUAUUUAGUAGUAAUAUAUCAGGAAACAUCUAAAGGGUACUGAAAUUAUUGGAAUUAAGUACAUACAGAAUCAAAGUUCAAGUGAUAAGUGAGAUUUCAAAGAUGACAAGCACCUGCUUCUCUUUCUGUUGUCCACUUUUGUGCACUAUUUUUAUGUCUCUCAUUUUAUCACUAUGAUCUGGUUUCUAUUUAUGGACAUAUGGCUCUUAUUCAAAGCAGCUGAUGCCCUUCUUUUGCAUAUAAGUGGAAGCUAUUCUAAAGCUGCUGCCAUAGAAAGAAUGUGUGUAGACAUGAGGAGGGGGAGAAAUGGUUGUGCUGUCCAGGUGUGUAUUGCUUAAAAAAAACUGGAAAAUAGUAUUGAAAUACGGUAAAUAGGAAAUCUAUGGGAUGGACCCAGAGCUAUAAAAUACUAUUUGCUGGAGGCAGGAUCAAGAUGGCAGAGGAGGAGUAGGAGGAUUCUGAGCUCACUUUCUCCCAUGGACACACCAAACUACAACUAAAUAUAAAACAAGUCUCUCUAAGAAUACUUGAAGACUAGCAGAAGGGCUAUUCUGCAAUGCAGGAGAUAAAGGAAAAAGGACACAUUAAGAUGGGCAAGAGAGGCAGAGUAAUGACCUACAGCCCUGGCGGGUUACCCACGCAUGGAUGCGGAUGUUACUAAGUCAGAGGUCCUUCCUAAGGAGGGAAGGGUCUGAGUUCCAUGUUGGACACCCUACCCUGGGCAUUGGUACUGGGAAGAUGUACCUCCUUAAUUGGUUUUAGAAACUGGCAGGGAUUAUGUCCAGGAGAGCCUGAGGACUGUACAAAUCUGAGAAUCUGCUCCUAAAGGACUUACUCCAAUGCAAAGGCCCUACGAUGAAAAGCUUUCCAAGAAUACCCCAGCAUGAAAACUUAAAGGGCCAUAUAAGACAAGCCCAUAGCUAACAACGUACUCAAUAGCAAAAAAGCUGAAAGUAUUUCUUUUUUUUAAUUUAUUUUUUAUUGUUAUUUCCCCCAACACCCUUUUCCCCCCCACUGUACAGCAUGGGGACCCAGUUAUACAUACAUGUAUACAAUUUUUUUUUCUCCCAUUGUCGUGCUGUGUUAAUAAAACUAGACCAUUUACUCACACCAUAUAUAAAGUCAACUCAAAAUGGAUUAAACAGACUUAAAUGUAAGACUUGGAACCAGAAAUUCUUAGAAGAAAACAUAGUCAGUGUGCUUUUUGACAUCAGUAUUAGUAACGUAUAUGUAUAUAUAUUUUGUAUCUGUCUCCUCAGGAAAAGGGAACAAAAGCAAAAAUAUACAAAUAGGUCACAUCAAAUUACAAAAAAAAAAA